Molecule: long non-coding RNA, 395 nt
Filed under: Mytilus galloprovincialis (Mediterranean mussel)
Lineage: Eukaryota; Metazoa; Mollusca; Bivalvia; Mytilida; Mytilidae
Source: RNAcentral
AAAAAAGGGGGAGGUUCCAACCCCCGGAACCCUCCCCCUGGAUCCGCCACUGAUACUGUCACUAUUUGUGGGGGAUUUCCCCCAUGGAGGCUCCCAAAUUGAAAUUUUGAAAGAGCAAUUGUGUCCAUAAUUUUAAACUAAACAAUUAAUUUUAUAAGGGAGCUACCAUUUGAUUUUUAGGGGGGGCUAGGAUGAAAUUUGAAAAAAAUAGGCAGGACAGGAGUUUUGAGUUAAAAAAAAAAGGCAGGAUGAGACACUUGCAAAAAAAAAAGGCAGGACGACAAUUUAGGUAAGAAAAAGUCAGGAUAAACUAAAAAAAAAAGGCAGGACCGAACAGAGUAAAAAAUAAAAAGGUAGGACAGAGAUUACAGCUAAAAAAAAAUGCAGGACAAAAA